RNAcentral lists this ribosomal RNA (460 nucleotides) under uncultured bacterium. RNAcentral's name for it is "partial 16S ribosomal RNA". It matches the Rfam family "Bacterial small subunit ribosomal RNA", at positions 338 to 795 of the family's 1533-position model. The record is from RNAcentral.
CCUACGGGGGGCAGCAGUGAGGAAUAUUGGUCAAUGGACGAGAGUCUGAACCAGCCAAGUAGCGUGAAGGAUGACUGCCCUAUGGGUUGUAAACUUCUUUUAUAAAGGAAUAAAACGAGGCACGUGUGCCUUUUUGCAUGUACUUUAUGAAUAAGGAUCGGCUGACUCCGUGCCAGCAGCCGCGGUAAUACGGAGGAUCCGAGCGUUAUCCGGAUUUAUUGGGUUUAAAGGGAGCGUAGAUGGGUUGUUAAGUCAGUUGUGAAAGUUUGCGGCUCAACCGUAAAAUUGCAAUUGAUACUGGCAGUCGUGAGUACAGUUGAGGUAGGCGGAAUUCGUGGUGUAGCGGUGAAAUGCUUAGAUAUCACGAAGAACCCCGAUUGCGAAGGCAGCUUACUAAACUGUGACUGACAUUGAUGCUCGAAAGUGUGGGUAUCAAACAGGAUUAGAUACCCUAGUAGUC